AUUGAACGCUGGCGGCAGGCCUAACACAUGCAAGUCGAGCGGUAGAGAGGUGCUUGCAUCUCUUGAGAGCGGCGGACGGGUGAGUAAUGCCUAGGAAUCUGCCUAGUGGUGGGGGAUAACGUUCGGAAACGGACGCUAAUACCGCAUACGUCCUACGGGAGAAAGCGGGGGGAUCUUCGGACCUCGCGCCAUUAGAUGAGCCUAGGUCGGAUUAGCUAGUUGGUGAGGUAAUGGCUCACCAAGGCGACGAUCCGUAACUGGUCUGAGAGGAUGAUCAGUCACACUGGAACUGAGACACGGUCCAGACUCCUACGGGAGGCAGCAGUGGGGAAUAUUGGACAAUGGGCGAAAGCCUGAUCCAGCCAUGCCGCGUGUGUGAAGAAGGUCUUCGGAUUGUAAAGCACUUUCAGCGAGGAGGAAGGGUUGUGUGUUAAUAGCACAUAGCCUUGACGUUACUCGCAGAAGAAG
Molecule: ribosomal RNA, 468 nt
Filed under: uncultured bacterium
Lineage: Bacteria
Description: bacterial SSU rRNA
Rfam family: Bacterial small subunit ribosomal RNA
Source: RNAcentral